CUUCACUUUCACUUUCAACCUCUCUAUAUCUCUCAAAACCUCUGUUUCUUCUCAUCACAACAAUGGCGAUUCUUCAUUCACCCAUUAAGCUCCAACCCUCUUCUAAACUCAUAACCCUCUUCUUCUUAAUCUCCUCCUCUUUAUGCACUGCCUAUUUCUUAGCCUCUGUUUUCCUGCUGCGAACUUUCUCUCCGCCCCAUCUUUCUUCUACUCAUCCUCCCUCCCCUCUCUCCCUCCAUCAAAUCGUCUUCGGAAUCGCCGCCGACAAGAACUCAUGGCCCAAACGAAAGGAUUAUCUCAAGAUUUGGUGGAAGCCCAGAUUAAUGCGAGGCUGUGUUUUCCUCGACGAGCUUCCGGAACACGAAAAUCCCAAGAACCACGACGCUUCUUCGCUCCCCGCCGUCUACGUCUCCGGCGACACUUCCCGGUUCCGUUAUACUUACAGAGGCGGUUACCGAUCCGCGAUAAGGAUCGCACGAGUGGUGCUGGAAACGAUAGCUGUCGGACAUUCAAAUGUCCGGUGGUACGUUUUCGGCGACGAUGACACGUUUUUCUUCCCGGAGAAUUUGGUGAAGACACUGUCCAAAUACGACGACGAGCUCUGGUACUAUAUCGGAAGCAACUCUGAAACUUCCGACCAAAACAGAGUAUUCGGUUACGAAAUGGGAUUCGGCGGAGCUGGAUUCGCCAUUAGCCAAUCUUUAGCUAGAAUUCUUCGAAAAGUAUUCGAUUCGUGUAUUGAACGGUACCCACAUCUCUAUGGAAGCGAUUCGAGGAUCCAAUCUUGUUUGACAGAGCUCGGAGUGAAAUUAACCCACGAACAGGGCUUCCAUCAGGUCGAUUUAAAAGGCAACAUUUUUGGACUUUUGGCUUCACACCCAUUAACCCCAUUAGUUUCAUUGCAUAAUUUAGAUCACAUCGAGCCAAUUUUCCCCAACAUGACGGUCAAGGAAUCACUCCAACAUCUUUUCGAAGCCGUCGAGGUCGAUUCACAGAGGAUCGUGCAACAGAGUGUGUGCUACGAUCGGUGGUUCUCAUGGACUAUUUCAGUGUCGUGGGGUUACGCCGUUCAAAUACACGAACGGAAUGUGUUCUUGCCGGAUGCCAUUAGCGUUCAACGAACAUUCAUGCCAUGGAAAAGGGAAUUGAGGGUUGAGCCUGGUUCUUUUGCAAUGAACACGAGAGAAAUUCAUGAAGACCCAUGUCGGCGGCCGAUUGUUUUCUAUUUUGAUCGUGCUUCUUCUAAUUGGAAUGGAUUAAUUGAGAGCAAUUACAAGAAAGCUUUUGUGAAUUGCUCUUAUGGUCCUAACUCGGCUAGAAGAUUGGAGGAAGUCAGAGUUUUGUCUCGUAAACUCGACCUUGAUUUCAAACAGUUGCAGGCUCCGAGAAGACAGUGCUGUGAUGUAUUGCCUUCCAAUGGCGGUGAAGGAUUGGAUAUCGCCAUUAGAGACUGCAAGGAAGAAGAGUUAAUUCACAUGCAUUAACAGUAUAAGAAAUAGAACUGGCCAAAGCUUGUGAUUUGCCGGAGAUUUUGAGUAUUUUUGGGGUUUUCAAUCCAUGGUGAAAGCUAUCCGUCUCAUGGUUUUAAAGCAUGUUUGAGAGCAUCUCACAAUUCCACCUUCUAGAGAGCUAGCAAGGGAUCUCACAAUUCCACCUCGUAGGGGGCUAGCAUCCUUGCUAAGCACACCCUUGAUGUCUGUAGCUCAAACCCUGUUCGUUUUAGACAGUUACGUAUCGCCGGUCUUACAGUUUUAAAAAAGGUCUAGUGAGAGGUUUAGAGGUUUCCACACUAUCAUUUUAUGUUUGAUUUUUUUAUCUUUUUGUUGCUACUAUUGGGGUCAAGCAUACUUGGUUGGAACCAUAUGACAUUAAAACUCCAUCUCAAUCUAAGCUAGCUUGAGAUGUUUGCAGUAGGAUCUUUAUCA
Molecule: non-coding RNA, 1925 nt
Organism: Cucurbita pepo subsp. pepo (vegetable marrow)
Lineage: Eukaryota; Viridiplantae; Streptophyta; Magnoliopsida; Cucurbitales; Cucurbitaceae
Source: RefSeq, a predicted model, not a curated record